This 2751-nucleotide long non-coding RNA is filed under the name Sus scrofa (pig). Its description in RNAcentral is "lncRNA (ENSSSCG00040070227.1)". Lineage: Eukaryota; Metazoa; Chordata; Mammalia; Artiodactyla; Suidae. The record is from RNAcentral.
GUCGCUUGCAAAGCAUCGCCCGCAGACCGAGGGGAGACAAAGUUGAGGCAGCGCGAGGGGGCUUCCGAGCUCAGCCCUCCGCACUUAAAGGAAAGACCCCCGGAGCUGCAGCCCAGAAGCUGCCGCUGACCUCGCCAUGCGGCUCUCUGACCUGAGACCCUGGGCCGCCCUACUGCUGGCGGACUCGGCCUUACUCUGGCUGCUCCAGGGACCUCUGGAGGCUCUGCUUCCCCGAGGGCUUCCAGGCCUGUGGCUGGAGGGCACCUUGCAACUUGGAGGGCUUUGGUGGCUGCUGAGGCUGGGAGGGCUGCUGGGAUAUGCGCGGACNCCCCCCCCCCCCCCCCCCCCGCUCCCCGCCCCGUCUGGUGAUCCCUCUGUUUUCCUGAGGGUUCUGGUCUCAGGAACCUUGAAUGUGCCCCCAGCAGAGUGGCUUCAGUCCCUUGGUGCUGCUGCUGCUGGGGUCCGGGGCUGCAGGGCUCAGCUGGGAAGUGUGGGCUGUGCAAACUGUGCAGUUUGCUGGAUUAGGAGCAAGAUGUCUGCUUGUAUAAGGAGGCUCUCAAAUGAUGCUGGCACCUGUGGUGGCCAGGAGACCUGGAACAGGCCCUCUGCCUGCUCUUAAGGAGGAUGCUGCACUUGACAAUGAAGGUGCUGUUGCUGAGCUGUGGGCUGCAGCAGGUCCUGGCUGGGACGUCACCCAGGGCGGGCUGCUGUCCUUUCUGCUCUACCAGGAGAACCUGGGCUCCUACAAGCAACAUUAUUUACAGUAGCAAAGAUAUGGACGCAGCCUAAGUAUCUGUCAGUAGAACAGAUAAAGAAGAUACCACAGUGGAAUGUUACUCAGCCAUGAAAAAGAAUGAAAUUCUUCCAUUUACUACAACAUGGAUGGACUCAGUGGGUAUUAUGCUAAGUGAAAUAAGUCAGAGGAAGACGAAUACUCUAUGAUUUCACUUGUUGGUGGAAUUUAAGAAACAAAUGAACAGAACAAAACAGAAACUGACCCAAGAUACAGAGGACAAAGAGUGCAACCGGAGGUGACAGUGCAUCCGGAGAGGACCCCGUCCCUGCAGCUCCGCAACCUGCUGCUUUGCUCUGUGACAGGGUUCUACCCAGGGGCCAUCGAGAUCAGGUGGUUCCGGAACGGGCAGGAGCAGAGAGAGGGGGUCCUGGCCACUGGCCUCGUCAGGAAUGGAGACUGGACCUUUCAGACAGUGGUGAUGCUGGAAAUGACUCCUGAGCUUGGGGACGUCUACACCAGCCUGCUGAGCCCCGUUUCUGUGGAGUGGAAAUAUGUUGAAAUCAGAGAUGUGGUUUUGGAUGUUUGGGAAGCAAAGAAGCAUAAAAUGGAGCAGAAGGUAAAGCCAGCUUUUGCCUGAAGAUGGAGUUCAGUCUUUUUACAUGUUUUAGCAGAACCUGCACAGAUCAGAAGCCUGAAACUAUCUUUAUCUUAUGUGGGAAUUGACACCCUUUGUGGUCAGGAAAGCUGGUCUUCUCACACCAAGGUCAAGUGUGGCUGUAGGAGGCGGAGCCUGCAGGUGCAGCAGCGUGUGGAGGCUACUUCUGACGCCCCUCUUCUCCCGAGGAAGAGAGUGUCCUAUCCCAGUCGGCGUUCCCAUCUUCCCCCCUGGACAACCUCAGACUUUUAAUGGCUUCGAGGUUUAGACCACACGUGCAAGUGUGAGAUAUUUCUCUUCUCAAUUUUUUUUUUUUUGUGGUGUAUGAUAGGAAGUCAUUAUUUUAAUUCUUGGAGAUGACUUUGUUUACAGUAUUAAAUUACACAUGAGGGAAAUGAGAAGGGUUGACGACAAAGGUCGUGUGAAAAGAUUGAGAGGUGGGUUUAACAGUUCAAAUUAGAUUGAAAGCUGUUAAUAGGUGGCCUUGAAGGUCGGAGACACCUCAAGCCUGGUGGAGAGAAACAAGGGGACAGAAGAGAUAGAGGGGCUACUUCAAGAGUUCCAAAUAUUAUUCUGACUAAUAAUUCAAUACAAAUUUUAUUUUACUGCUGGGUUUAUAAAGCCGAUCACAGAUCUGUCAGACCACGUAAGAAGCAGGAAGAGGAGAAAACAAGAUCCCUUUUAUUGUAGUCUAGAUCCUUGGGUGACAUUUUAUUCCUUCCACCUUCACAGGUAUAAAUGUAGAUAUAGAUAUAAAUGGAAAAAUGGUCAGAGGCUUGAGAUCAUAGUAAACAUGCCAAUUUGUCACUAAGCUUUGUUUUUAAUUAAUUUUUUCCUAUCAGUUUUAUUGUGUUAUGAUUGACAUACAACAUUGGAGAAGUUUAAGAUAUAAAGCAUGGGGAGUUCCCUUGAGGUGCAGCGGGUUAAGGAUCCGGUGUUGUCACUGAAAUGGCUCGGGUCGCUAAUGUGGUGCAGACUGAAUCUCUGGCCCAGGAACUGCCUCGGGUGCAGCGGAAAAAAAAAAAAAAAAAAAAAAAAAGAUAUACAGCAUAAUUAUUUAAUUUACAUACAUCAUUAAAUGAUUAUUACAAGUUUAGUGAACAUCUGUCAUCUCAGAUAGAUACAAAAUUAAAGAAAUAGAAAAAAAUAUUUUUUCCUUGUGAUGAGAACUCUUAGGAUUUAAUUGCUUAACAACUUUUCUAUAUAACAUACAACCGUGUUAAUUAUAUUUAUCAUGUCACACAUCAUCUCUUUAGUACUUAUUUCUUAUAACUGGGAGUUUGUACCUGUGGUUUGCCUCCUACCUGCUGAUGGUCAUAGAUUUAUAAAUAGAUUCUUAAUUAAACUAUCUUCAAAGUAA